This 1369-nucleotide ribosomal RNA is filed under the name uncultured bacterium. RNAcentral's name for it is "bacterial SSU rRNA". It matches the Rfam family "Bacterial small subunit ribosomal RNA", at positions 28 to 1381 of the family's 1533-position model. The record is from RNAcentral.
GACGAACGCUGGCGGCGUGCCUAAUACAUGCAAGUAGAACGCUGAAGAGAGGAGCUUGCUCUUCUUGGAUGAGUUGCGAACGGGUGAGUAACGCGUAGGUAACCUGCCUUGUAGCGGGGGAUAACUAUUGGAAACGAUAGCUAAUACCGCAUAACAAUGGAUGACACAUGUCAUUUAUUUGAAAGGGGCAAUUGCUCCACUACAAGAUGGACCUGCGUUGUAUUAGCUAGUAGGUGAGGUAACGGCUCACCUAGGCGACGAUACAUAGCCGACCUGAGAGGGUGAUCGGCCACACUGGGACUGAGACACGGCCCAGACUCCUACGGGAGGCAGCAGUAGGGAAUCUUCGGCAAUGGGGGCAACCCUGACCGAGCAACGCCGCGUGAGUGAAGAAGGUUUUCGGAUCGUAAAGCUCUGUUGUAAGUCAAGAACGAGUGUGAGAGUGGAAAGUUCACACUGUGACGGUAGCUUACCAGAAAGGGACGGCUAACUACGUGCCAGCAGCCGCGGUAAUACGUAGGUCCCGAGCGUUGUCCGGAUUUAUUGGGCGUAAAGCGAGCGCAGGCGGUUUGAUAAGUCUGAAGUUAAAGGCUGUGGCUCAACCAUAGUUCGCUUUGGAAACUGUCAAACUUGAGUGCAGAAGGGGAGAGUGGAAUUCCAUGUGUAGCGGUGAAAUGCGUAGAUAUAUGGAGGAACACCGGUGGCGAAAGCGGCUCUCUGGUCUGUAACUGACGCUGAGGCUCGAAAGCGUGGGGAGCGAACAGGAUUAGAUACCCUGGUAGCCCACGCCGUAAACGAUGAGUGCUAGGUGUUGGAUCCUUUCCGGGAUUCAGUGCCGCAGCUAACGCAUUAAGCACUCCGCCUGGGGAGUACGACCGCAAGGUUGAAACUCAAAGGAAUUGACGGGGGCCCGCACAAGCGGUGGAGCAUGUGGUUUAAUUCGAAGCAACGCGAAGAACCUUACCAGGUCUUGACAUCCCGAUGCUAUUUCUAGAGAUAGAAAGUUACUUCGGUACAUCGGUGACAGGUGGUGCAUGGUUGUCGUCAGCUCGUGUCGUGAGAUGUUGGGUUAAGUCCCGCAACGAGCGCAACCCCUAUUGUUAGUUGCCAUCAUUCAGUUGGGCACUCUAGCGAGACUGCCGGUAAUAAACCGGAGGAAGGUGGGGAUGACGUCAAAUCAUCAUGCCCCUUAUGACCUGGGCUACACACGUGCUACAAUGGUUGGUACAACGAGUUGCGAGUCGGUGACGGCAAGCUAAUCUCUUAAAGCCAAUCUCAGUUCGGAUUGUAGGCUGCAACUCGCCUACAUGAAGUCGGAAUCGCUAGUAAUCGCGGAUCAGCACGCCGCGGUGAAUACGUUCCCGGGCCU